AUGGCGACCCCCAAGAGAAUUUACUCGCCUCUGUCGGAGAUCCCCGCCCACCUCUUGGAGCAGAUAUUCCUCCGGCUGCCCGACCCAGAAGACCUCGCCCGCACCUCCGCCGUCUGCGUUACCUUCCGCCGCCUCGUCACCGACGGCUCAUUCCUCCGCCGAUUCCGUCGCCUCCACCCACCACAAGUCCUCGGCAUCCUCGACCUCGGCGGGUUCCACCCCGCUCAGCCGCCUCACCCGUCGGCGCCCGCCGCCCGCGCGCUCGCCCUGGCCGCUGACUUCUCCUUUUCGUUCCUGCCUUCGCGCCGCCGACGGGCCGUCCAGGACGUCCGUGACGGCCGCGUCAUCCUCGUCCGCAAGCAAAACAUGAUGGCCGGGGAGCUCUCGAUGUUCCCGGAUCUUGUGGUGUGCGACCCCUUGCACCGGCGGUACGUCCUGCUUCCCCGGGUGCCUGACGACCUAGUGGCAUCGGUGGAGAGGCAAGAUGACGAAUUUUUAGGGUGGUCUUGCGAGCCCAGCUUCAUCCCACCUAGCGAUGAGGAGGCUGCCCUGGCGGAAGAGACGGCGUUCAGAGUGAUCUGGUCGGCAUGUUGCAAAACCAAUAUGGCCGUGUUUGUCUUCUCUUCGAGCACUGGGCAAUGGCGCCAUUUGGUGGACGGAUGCGUCUACUGGGUCUCGCCGAUGAACAAUACAGAUUUGCUUGUGCUUGACACCAGGACUAUGGAGUUCUCCGUUGCUGACCUCCCACCCGGAGAAUGGAGCCAGCAGGAUAUAGCUAUUGUGGAUGCAGGGGAAGGCAGGCUUGGGAUGUUUUGUGUAGAUGAUGAAAAUGCAAGUGAUAAAUCUUAUCUCUGUUAUACCAUCAGGCAAAACAAAGGCGAGAGCUCCGGCGAGUGGCAGAUGGAGAAAAUCUCACUAGGUUCUGGGUAUCGGUAUUGUAUCGGAGGUGGAACAGAGAAGUACUUGAUCCUACAAAGGAUAGAAGCCCAGAAGUACUUAUCGCUAACACCACCAAUCAUGGAAUUUUGCAAACUGAAUGUCAGGACAAUGCAAGUUGAGAGGAUUUGUGCUGAAUCUUGCGGGUUCUCUGGGUCUAAAGCGUUCAUAUAUACCAACUUCCCACCGUCGUUGUUGUCUUUACCGACAGUAUGA
RNAcentral lists this ribosomal RNA (1152 nucleotides) under Triticum aestivum (bread wheat). Its description in RNAcentral is "partial small subunit ribosomal RNA". Lineage: Eukaryota; Viridiplantae; Streptophyta; Magnoliopsida; Poales; Poaceae. The record is from RNAcentral.